UUCUGGACGAGAGUGUGGAGGCCGGCAAAUACAUCUACGAACUAGGUGAAUGUGAAAGCAUCGAUUUUGCGUGGCUAUGGCGUUGCACUGACUAUUUGUUUCUGUGACAGUGCCUCCUCUAACAACACUUCAUGCUGUAGCAUGUAGGCCCUUUUUUGAACGAAUUUCUGGUAGGUGCUAUGAUCUUAUCUUAUCCUUCGAGUGUUUGCGUGGCCUGUGUGUAUAGCUCGUCGGUGUGUUUAUGAUGCGGCUGGUUUUUGUUGAUAAGUGUACGAAGGGAAUUUCGUUGGUUAAUGUUUUUACUCUAAAUUGUUCUCAAUGUUGUGACUGCUGAUACGUCAGUUGGGUUCACAAAGUGUACUUGUUUUAGUAUUUUAUUGGGGGCCAUGGUUUUUCACAUGAUAAGUGUGCACCUGUUUCUGCAGUUGCUACCGCUGCUGCUCCUGUUGUCCCUGCUGGCAAGUAUCUUGUCUUGCUCCUAAGGACGUUCGUCAUUUAGUUGCCUGGGUGGGUUAAUUUCUAAGCGUUGUUGCUGUGGGAAUGCAGAUGCUAUUCGACAAUUGACUGAGUUUUGGAGAAAGUGUCAGACAAGUAGGCCGGAGCCUGGUGGACAUGUGGUGAGUUUUGAACAAGAUGAGCAUUGGAGCGCCAUGCUGGAAUGGUAUCUAUGUGCGUAAGUGCUUUAAGGCCUUCCGGGAAAGAGCGCUGGCUGCAUGGGAGGGCUCACAUGUUCACGUAACUGGGCCACCAUGGAUAGGCAAGUCGAUGUUCCUGUGGUACAUGAUCAUGGAGGCUGCUGCUGGAAACCUCCCCUAACACAUGCACGCCCAGGAGCAGCUACACUCACGACUGAAAGCCAGGUUCAAACGGCUACUAGUUUAUUUUCUCUAUUCUAGGCAUAUACUGGC
This 908-nucleotide long non-coding RNA is filed under the name Selaginella moellendorffii. RNAcentral's name for it is "long non-coding RNA (SMOE_LNC001430)". The record is from RNAcentral. Lineage: Eukaryota; Viridiplantae; Streptophyta; Lycopodiopsida; Selaginellales; Selaginellaceae.